Non-coding RNA from Pteropus alecto (black flying fox), 73 nucleotides. NCBI's taxonomy places the organism in Eukaryota, Metazoa, Chordata, Mammalia, Chiroptera, Pteropodidae. The record is from Rfam.
GGUUCCAUAGUGUAGCGAUUAGUGCGUCUGCUUUACAAGCAGAAGGUCCUGGGUUCGCACCCCAGUGUAGCCA